Non-coding RNA from Myodes glareolus (Bank vole), 4269 nucleotides. The record is from RefSeq and is a predicted model, not a curated record. Lineage: Eukaryota; Metazoa; Chordata; Mammalia; Rodentia; Cricetidae.
UAUAUUUCGUUCCCUAAAUAUCAAAUUCUAUUGAAUUUAUAAUCCCCCACUGUUUGUUUAGUUGUUCCUGGUUCAUGGCUGCUGAGAUGAUUUUUAUCGUGGCGGGGAAGAAGGACAAAGGCAGUUUGAGGACAAGCCCCGAAGUCUUGUUUUCUCUUUCAGGAAACUUUAGAAACCGCACAUUUUUCAACGCUUUAACCAAGGGAUGCAAGUACAAAGUUAAAGUUACAACAGAGAGAUUAGAUUAAAAAAAAAAGAACCCUAAAGAAUGAGGUUGGCAAUUCGCGCAUGUGGUCUUUGUUCAGGAGAACACCGAAGUAUAUGUGGACCAAUUCCUAGGAAAACAAACAGUGAUGUUGCUUUUUUACCGCAUUUGACCUACCCGGCAGCUAAUCACAACCAGACGACCUCAAGUAACUGCAUUAAUUUCUUUGAACGCUAGAGGGAGAUAUAUUCACUUGCAAAUCGGGAAGAGAGACUUGUUCUAUCUAGAUAGAGCACUUUCAACUCGGAACUUUCACUAGGAACUGUUUAAAAUUCUGGUAAUUUUGCAGUCACCAGGAAACACGGAUAUGUAUUAAGACUAGAGCAAAUGACACACGUUUAGAAAGUAAACGGAUUUCUUUGUUGGACCAGGAUUUCUAUGAACGGGUUACUUUGUUUUGGGUGAUUUUAUAUGCUGUAUUCUCAGGCCAUACCGCAAGCCAUUUUUCUCUUGAGCAAUACAAAGCAUAAAGUCCACAAACUGCCAGCUGUUGUUGGGAUACACAUCGCUUCUUCCUCCCCGGGAUCUCAGGGGAUUUGCCCACUAUAAGCUAAAUGGUCAAAGGCUUCCAAAGUCUGGUGUCUGCGGAUGCUUGAAUCACACUGUACUUAGCCACAUCCUUGCCGGUCGGGUGGCUUAAAGGUCAUCGGCACAGAGAUCGCUCUGGGCUUUUAUUUGCCCAAUAAAAUGCUUUUCAACUUUGCCUGGUAAUCACAUAGAUAUGUAGUGUUUUCGUGAUUGCUUGGGGCAACUAAAGAACUCUCUCUUUAUUUGCUUUGGUUAUCUUUUCCAAAGAACAUUCUGCAGACGGUCUAUUUUUUUUUCCCCUGAUCAAAGGUUGAGCGUGAUCCUAGCCAGCCGUUCUCAGUCUGCCAAGUGCUUUGUUUGACCUUGUAAGUAAUUUUAUAAAUUAAUUCUAGAAAUCCUCCAUUGCAUAAGUCCCAACGUUGAGGUGUUUCUGGUAAGUAAAGGGGGUGGUAUCCUUUCUGUCCCCAAGGCAGGAGAAUCAGAACUGGCAGUCAUCAAACCUUAGCCUAAACUGAUUGGUGAACGUCGGCAAGUGACUUUGAAUCUUGCUGGGACUAUUUUUGUGUCUCCGAUGUGGGAUCGCACCCCUUCAGAAUUGUGGGGAUUGGAUCACACAAUAUAUAAAACGCACCCUGCUUGGUUUCUAGUGCCAGGACGCAUUCCAAUUCCCGUGUCUUUGUAAAUUCCCACAGGAAGUACUCCGCCAAAGGACUCUAUAAAGCAUGGGUUGUGCACGCUAUGGGCUCCGAAGUUAUGUCCAGUGCUGGUUUUAAACACAGAAUGUGACCCAGGUCACAUUUGUAAGUUAUCUCUUGCAAGACCACAGACAUGGGCAGAAUUGUAUUGGCCCGGACUCCACUCUAUUUCCGCAGAUGGUGGGCCUCACCAAGACCCCAGACGAUUCCUAAGAAAGAACCCAAAAGGCACAAAAUGGCAGGCUUCUGUUUGCUGGUUUCCUCCGGCACCCUUGCCAGGAAUGGAAAAAGAGCCAGAAAAGGGCACACCAAAAAUGCGGAAAAGACUCCUUCUAGUCUGCUUUUAAUGAAGAUGAGGAAUGACUUUCCUAGCUGCAAAAUACGUGCGGAAAUAGCAACCUCUAAAUCUAUUCAUAUUCCCCAAAUGGCAUUUCUCACUGCCACCUUUACCGGAUGUGGUUUUACACAUCUAAUUGAAUGAAUAAAAUAUCCCAGUUCUAUGUUUUGAAGAAUAAUGACAUCAAUUGCCUUCUCAGACCACAGGAUAUACACAUAAAUUAAUAGAAGACAGUCUGUUUCUGGAUUGAGUCAUCGGUGUUGUUAGUGUUAUUAGUGUAAGUAAUAAAUAAAAAUGAACUCUCAGUGGUAUUCUGUUUCCAGCACAAUUAAGAACUAGCUUAUGUUUAUGAAAUACUUAUUACCUUAUCCUUAUGGAGUGAACUUCAUUUUAUAACUUCCCAUUUUCUGCUGUAAUUGUUAGUGUCAACAUACAUUUUUCAGAAUUAUAGACUGUAGACUACAAAGAGUGAAUUUUAAUAUCAACUAAGAACCUCAACUAAUUAUCACAAAUCUGUGUUUUUGCUCAUUAUAGUCAUAAACGUGGCCACACUGAUACUGGUAUCAUUAAUAGAAAGUGAAGUAGAGAUUAGAACAGUCUAUGGGAACUCUGCAUUUGCCCUUGUAAUUGUUCUACAAACCUAAAGUUAGAAGAAACAAACAAUUAUUAAGAAAUCUCAAUUGGGAGUAAUAGCAUUCGGGGACUUUGGAUGAUGAUGUGCUCAUGCAUGUUCAUGGGUUAUCAUAAAUCCGUCCCUCCAUGGGGGCAUGACUGCCACGCGGGAGGCCAUGCAUGUGUGAGCAAAGCGGUGGACGGCGCCCAUGACGAGUCUCUAUCUUCCGUUCGGUGCUUCUGUGAGCUUAAAACUGAUUCAAAGAGUAAAUCAUGACGAUCUCAAAGCCAUUUAAGAACCUUUAUAUCGUCACAUGUGUAGGGAAGAAAAAAACCAUUCUGUAGGCCACUGUGUUGUCACUGCCAAAUUUCUGGGCGUCCUUCUAGCCUGUUGCUCAUCUGUCCACCUGUCUAUCAACGACCUUAGUGUCCAGUGACAAAACGAGGCUUGUUUAUGUGUAAUGUAGAGACACUGAGGUUCUUGAUCUUCCUUUCUCAAAAUGUUUAGACUGAGUUCUAUGGGAUACUUUCUGACUUCUUCUGUGGCAGUUUCAUUGGACUGAUUGUUUGUUUUAUUGUGCUAGCAUUUCUUUUUAGAUCAUUAGCCAAGAGUGGUUUUAAACAUAAAGCAGAGAUUCAUGAUAGAUAUAAUAUUUUUAUAUCUGACACACCAUUUCCAUACCAUAUUGGUGUAGGAGGUUCUUCUGUCUAUGUGUGGCCUUCAUUGGUUGAAUAAAGAAACUGCCUUGGUCUUCUGAUAGGGUAGAACUUAGAUAGGCUGAGUAGAUAGGCAGAGUUGACAGAACUGGAUGCUGGGAAGAAGGGCAGAGUGGCAGACGCCAUGGUUCUCCUGCUCUAGACAGAUACUGGGUAGGCUCAUGCCAGUAAGCCACAAUCACGUGGUGAUACACAGAUUUAAUAGAAAUGGGUUCAUCAAGAUGUGAGAGUUAGCCAAGAAGAGGCUAGAUAUAAUGGGCCAGGCAGUAAUUUAAUUAGUACAAUUUCUGUGUGGUUAUUUCAGGGGUUAAGCUAGCCAGGCGGGAUGGAACAAAGGGGCCCCGCUCUUGUACUACAUCAUAUAGUGUUUUCUUGGCUUACUGUUUAUGUUCACUUAUACCAAAUGCUACAUAAUGGAGGCAGGUUAGAAGGAAUGUAAGCAGGACCUAGUAUCUCAGGAAUUUGAUCCAGCUACUCAGAAGGUUGAGGUAGGAGGAUUGCAAGUUGAAGGCCUGUUUGGUUACAGAAUGAGUUCAAAGCCAGUCUGGGCAACUUAGUGAGACCCUGUCUCAAAUUAAAAACAUAAAAACUAGUUUAGGAAAUUAGAGCCCUGGUAGAGUACUCACUUACACAAGAAGCCCUGGAUUCAAUCCUUAUUGCCAGAAGAAAAAGGAUGAGGGAGGUGAAGGGGAGAAGGAAGGGGAGGAGGAAAGAGUGGAGCCUUAAAGAAUGUCUGUGUAGCACAGAGAGAGCCUCUGAAUUAGAACACACAGAUUGAACUGGGUCAAGGGAUGAAACCCUCCAUCAAUUCUGUCUGCAUGAGAAGUCAUGCAUCCUUUCUCGACAUCUUUCACCAAUGUGAAAUGAGAGGGUUUAAUAUGAGUUCAUGUAUAUCAUCUUGCUUUAUACUGGUCGGUUUCCUUGGGUUACAUGUGCCAUCCAAUUUGAAAACUACUGAGAUUGGGUGAACCUAAAAUCACUGGUGUGCAGAAAAACUCCUGAUUUGUGCAAGUUGAUUCUGUAUUCUACCGUGUUGUUGACGUGUUUUUAUUCAUUGUUUCUAGAAUUCUGAUGGAAUUUUGGGGAUCUUUAAUAAACAAUAUUAUGUCAUCUGC